RNAcentral lists this ribosomal RNA (377 nucleotides) under uncultured bacterium. RNAcentral's name for it is "bacterial SSU rRNA". It matches the Rfam family "Bacterial small subunit ribosomal RNA", at positions 523 to 898 of the family's 1533-position model. The record is from RNAcentral.
AUACGUAGGGAGCGAGCGUUGUCCGAAUUCACUGGGCGUAAAGCGCGCGUAGGCGGGUUUUUAAGUUGGGGGUGAAAUCCCGGAGCUUAACUCCGGAACUGCCUCCAAAACUGGGAGCCUUGAGGUAUGGAGAGGGAAGUGGAAUUCCAGGUGUAGCGGUGAAAUGCGUAGAUAUCUGGAGGAACACCCGUGGCGAAGGCGGCUUCCUGGCCAUAUCCUGACGCUGAGGUGCGAAAGCUAGGGGAGCGAACGGGAUUAGAUACCCCGGUAGUCCUAGCCGUAAACGAUGGAUACUAGGUGUUAGAGGUAUCGACCCCUCUAGUGCCGAAGCUAACGCAUUAAGUAUCCCGCCUGGGGAGUACGGCCGCAAGGCUGAA